Molecule: ribosomal RNA, 253 nt
Filed under: uncultured bacterium
Lineage: Bacteria
Description: partial 16S ribosomal RNA
Rfam family: Bacterial small subunit ribosomal RNA
Source: RNAcentral
UACGUAGGGUGCGAGCGUUAAUCGGAAUUACUGGGCGUAAAGCGCGCGUAGGCGGUUAUUUAAGUCGGAUGUGAAAGCCCCGGGCUCAACCUGGGAAUUGCAUUCGAUACCGAGUAACUAGAGUAUGAGAGAGGGAGGUAGAAUUCCACGUGUAGCGGUGAAAUGCGUAGAUAUGUGGAGGAAUACCGGUGGCGAAGGCGGCCUCCUGGCUUAAUACUGACGCUGAGGUGCGAAAGCGUGGGGAUCAAACAGG